CCAGACUCCUACGGGAGGCAGCAGUGGGGGAUAUUGCACAAUGGGGGGAACCCUGAUGCAGCGACGCCGCGUGGGUGAAGAAGCGCCUCGGCGCGUAAAGCCCUGUCAGCAGGGAAGAAAAUGACGGUACCUGAAGAAGAAGCCCCGGCUAACUACGUGCCAGCAGCCGCGGUAAUACGUAGGGGGCAAGCGUUAUCCGGAUUUACUGGGUGUAAAGGGGGCGCAGACGGCGAUGCAAGCCAGGAGUGAAAGCCCGGGGCUCAACCGCGGGACUGCUUUUGAAACUGUGUAGCUAGAGUGCAGGAGAGGUAAGUGGAAUUCCUAGUGUAGCGGUGAAAUGCGUAGAUAUUAGGAGGAACACCAGUGGCGAAGGCGGCCUGCUGGACGACAACUGACGGUGAGGCGCGAAAGCGUGGGGAGCAAACAGGAUUAGAUACCCGGGUA
Molecule: ribosomal RNA, 444 nt
Filed under: uncultured bacterium
Lineage: Bacteria
Description: bacterial SSU rRNA
Rfam family: Bacterial small subunit ribosomal RNA
Source: RNAcentral